UCCCAGAGUGUUGAGUUCAUACAAGAUUUCUUGUGCUUGUAUGGUAAUUAAUCUCUGGUACA
RNAcentral lists this microRNA precursor (62 nucleotides) under Nematostella vectensis (starlet sea anemone). RNAcentral's name for it is "Nve-Mir-2045_pre stem-loop". Lineage: Eukaryota; Metazoa; Cnidaria; Anthozoa; Actiniaria; Edwardsiidae. The record is from RNAcentral.